RNAcentral lists this microRNA precursor (112 nucleotides) under Bigelowiella natans CCMP2755. Its description in RNAcentral is "miRNA EPrBNAG00000013366". The record is from RNAcentral. Lineage: Eukaryota; Cercozoa; Chlorarachniophyceae.
UGAUGCUGCAACUGCUGCUGCUGCUGAUGAUGAUGAUGCUGCAAGAAUCGUUUUCGUCAUUGUCGCUGCUGUUUUAUCAUCAUCAUUACCAUCAUCAUCAUCAUCAUCAUCA